This 817-nucleotide ribosomal RNA is filed under the name Minutisphaera japonica. RNAcentral describes it as "eukaryotic LSU rRNA". It matches the Rfam family "Eukaryotic large subunit ribosomal RNA", at positions 76 to 913 of the family's 3401-position model. The record is from RNAcentral. Lineage: Eukaryota; Fungi; Ascomycota; Dothideomycetes; Minutisphaerales; Minutisphaeraceae.
UGCCUCAGUAACGGCGAGUGAAGCGGCAACAGCUCAAAUUUGAAAUCUGGUCCUUUCAGGGCCCGAGUUGUAAUUUGGAGAGGAUGCUUCGGCUGCGGCCCUGGUCUAAGUUCCUUGGAACAGGACGUCACAGAGGGUGAGAACCCCGUACGUGGCUGGGUGCCUACGCCAUGUGAAGCUCCUUCGACGAGUCGAGUUGUUUGGGAAUGCAGCUCUAAACGGGAGGUAGAUUUCUUCUAAAGCUAAAUACCGGCGAGAGACCGAUAGCGCACAAGUAGAGUGAUCGAAAGAUGAAAAGCACUUUGGAAAGAGAGUUAAAAAGUACGUGAAAUUGUUGAAAGGGAAGCGCUUGCAACCAGACUUGGACGUAGUUGCUUAGCUGGGCUUCUGCCCGGUGCACUCUUCUGCGCCCAGGCCAGCAUCAGUUCAGGCGGCCGGAUAAAGGCCUUGGGAAUGUAGCUCCUCUCGGGGAGUGUUAAAGCCCUUGGUGCAAUGCGGCCUGCCUGGACUGAGGUCCGCGCUUCGGCUAGGAUGCUGGCGUAAUGGUUGUAAGCGGCCCGUCUUGAAACACGGACCAAGGAGUAUAACAUCUAUGCGAGUGUUUGGGUGGAAAACCCAUGCGCGUAAUGAAAGUGAACGGAGGUGGGAGCCCUAGGGCGCACCAUCGACCGAUCCUGAUGUCUUCGGAUGGAUUUGAGUAAGAGCAUAGCCGUUAUGACCCGAAAGAUGGUGAACUAUUCCUGAAUAGGGUGAAGCCAGAGGAAACUCUGGUGGAAGCUCGCAGCGGUUCUGACGUGCAAAUCGAUCGUCAAAUUUG